UUUACAAACUUGCUAAGUUACCAGCUAAACUGUUACUGGUAAAAUUUGUUCUCAUGAUCAAACUCAAGAAACUCUAAGUACAGAUGAUUUGUUUAAAGUUAUAUGUAUUUUACUGUUGUAUUUACUUGAAGCUUUCUUAGAUUUUGAAACGAAGUAAACACGUAAUGUGUGUUGCUAAUGUUGGGCCAUGUAAUAUGUAAUACAUUAACGUUUUAAUGAAUAGUCUAACGAUUUAUAGUCGUUGUACUCUAUUGUUAUAAUAUGUCUUUUUGACUGAAUACAUGUUUGUUUUAUUUGUCUAUAUCCUAGAUUCGCAGCUGGACACAUCCUUCUACACUGUAUGCAAACAUGCAACAUCAUAACACACAGUACAAGGAGUCAGACUGGCAUAUGAGGAGCAAAGGAACCCACGCAGUAGCAUCGUUUCACAAUGUUUCCAUCACCAUCAUCAGUGGAUGCCUUUGCCGUCCGUAGCCUGAGAUUUCAGAUUUGCAGCAAAAAAAUUUGAUUUUCUCAUUUAUUGGAAUGCUGUGCAGGUUGUACCUUGCAGCCAUCCAUUACAAUGUCACCAAGCCGUAACAAAAGCAGGAGAGGGAAAGUACAAGGCUAUGUUCCCAAAACACAAAUGACAUACCUUAUGUGGAUGAUGUGAUCAGGCUUGUGUUUGUUGAGGUAUUUGAAGAUAAGCUGAAG
Long non-coding RNA from Paramisgurnus dabryanus, 693 nucleotides. RefSeq lists it as uncharacterized. Lineage: Eukaryota; Metazoa; Chordata; Actinopteri; Cypriniformes; Cobitidae. The record is from RefSeq and is a predicted model, not a curated record.